GGGCCCUUUCCGGUCACGAUAGCCUGAACGAAGAAUCCGAACAUCGAGAACAUGGCCAAUCGCCCGUUCUUGAUCUCCUUCACCUUCAACUCAGCGAAGGUGUCGGGGUCGUCAGCCAAACCCAAGGGGUCGAAUGAGCCUCCGGGGUAGAUGGGGUCAGUCACCUCACCCAAUGGUCCACCGGCAACACGGUAACCCUCAACAGCUCCCAUAAGGAUAACCUGGCAAGCCCAGAUGGCCAGGAUGCUCUGAGCGUGCACAAGGCUGGGGUUGCCCAAGUAAUCAAGACCACCCUCGCUGAAGAUUUGAGCUCCGGCCUUGAACCACACAGCUUCACCGAACUUCACACCGCUCUUCGCCAACAGCUCAGGGGUCACGCACCCCAAAGCUCCGAGCAUGGCCCAGCGGGCGUGAAUAACCUCAAGCUCCCUGUUGCGGGCAAAGGUCUCGGGGUCGGAGGAGAGUCCAGCGGUGUCCCAUCCGUAGUCACCAGCGAACUCACCGUUAAGGUAUGAGGGGGUCUCACCGGAAAAUGGGCCCAAAUACUUGGGUCUGUCAGCUCCAUACCUACAUUGUUCACAGCAAUGUUAACCUGGUUAGCGAUUAAUGUCACACCAUUACCGGACAUAUUAUAUUAAUGAGCCACCCAUUAUCAGAAACGCGGCAGGAACCAUGUGCAAAUGCUCGACAACAGCUAACUAAUCAACAACAACUGCACACUGAUCGCAGAUACAAAAGCAACCAGCGCGACUCAAUAACGCACC
RNAcentral lists this long non-coding RNA (764 nucleotides) under Physcomitrium patens. RNAcentral's name for it is "long non-coding RNA (PPAT_LNC007975)". Lineage: Eukaryota; Viridiplantae; Streptophyta; Bryopsida; Funariales; Funariaceae. The record is from RNAcentral.